Molecule: small nuclear RNA, 107 nt
Organism: Rattus norvegicus (Norway rat)
Lineage: Eukaryota; Metazoa; Chordata; Mammalia; Rodentia; Muridae
Source: Ensembl
CUGAGACGUCUUUGUUUAGCUCUAUAUUCUCUGGAACGAUACAGAGAAGAUUAGCAUGGCCCCUGUACAAGGGUGACAGGCAAAUUCAUGAAGCAAUCCACAUUUUU